This 2767-nucleotide long non-coding RNA is filed under the name Haliotis rufescens (red abalone). RNAcentral describes it as "uncharacterized LOC124135688". The record is from RNAcentral. Lineage: Eukaryota; Metazoa; Mollusca; Gastropoda; Lepetellida; Haliotidae.
CGUUCAUUGUUUUCUUUAGCACCAACAGGUACGCUGUAGACUUUCAAGAUGACAGAACAGAGUUUAAUUGGAUACUAAUCACGCGUGUUUGUGAUAAAUCGGAGUGGGUAUACAGGGGGCUCUACAAGGGGCCACUGUUGACAUCUGGCUACCUCAAGCAACACCAGAUAAACCAGAGUUUGAAAGCGGUAAUUCUAUGUCAGGACAUAAUAUUACGUUCCUGAGUUAAUCUGUCAGAUCUGUUUUUUCUGAAUCUGUAGCCCUGAAAUCGGUGCAAAGAUCAGCCAAAGAUAACAGCAGUCUGUGGUAGGCAGCUUCAUAUAUAUACUGUACGAGGAUCAUCCCAACCAAGUUCCUCGUCUCGCCCACAAAGCGACUUGAACCCGCAGGAGCCCAGGUACCAAGUUUGAUUGUCACGUCCUGACCAGACACUGAUUUCUGCUGUGUUGAUCUAAUGGGCCGUUUUCGGUGCUGUACACGGUGACCUUUGACAAGCACUAAUGAAAUUGGUCUAGAUGACGCGUGGUACACCGUGACUUUAAGAACGCAGGAUAUCAAAGACAUUGUUGUCAUCUGCGUGUGUGAAAUUAACUAGAGCGCCUCACCGACAAAAUGUCGGUUUAUUGGCAUUAGCGCAUGUAUACAGACUUUUCUCCGGCGGUAAGUUGGAAUGCAAUAAUCUCACCUUCUGCAGAAGCCGCGGCCAGGCAAAUUGAAUAAAUUGUCAUCACUCAACCAGGCGUUGUUUUCAACCUUUACAACGAAAACCAGGAACUGUCACUAUGGGAACGGCGGAUUGUAUUAUUGCGCAUGACUCUAUGAAGUGCUGAAGAGUUUGUCGGGUCCACUCGUUGCACGAGGCUCUAUUGGUGAAAACAUUUCAUUACCGUUCAGCACGCUGUUUCCCCAGCUUCAGUCGAUUACUUCACUGAGCAGACGACAGACCACACGCGGACCGAGGAGCCGGAGCAGACGAUCUCUCUCUCACUCUCCCGCCAAAAUGAUACGAAAUCAUAUACGCAAGAGUCACGAUCCAAAACGACGGGCGAGUUUGUGUUUGUCCUCAGACCCGAACCCCCUCCUUACUGAGGGGGUGAGAAGAAGGGGGUCCCUCUUCACCCCCACGGGGCCUCUCCUGACUGUCCCACCUGUAAGUGACCAGAGGCGGAGCUCAUUCCCGGGGGUGGGAUCAGGUUUACCGGUAACUACAAAUGGUGACAUUACCCGGCGACGAUCCUCGAGUGUCACCCCGGACAAGACUGGGGGAUUUACGGACAUUGAUGGUCAGCCAAACUGUAGGUCACUGAAAAUCGUCGUGUCAACGAUUGGAUUAUUUCUUGUGGCUGUCUUAGUGUAUUCCUUCGUGAGACUCGUCACAUGAGAAGCGACGCUGUCACGCACCAAGAUGUUCUAAAAACGGAUAAUUUCAAGGGACCAAACCGAAGAGUGUACAUAUCUAUCAUCGGCUGUAUAUUAUAUUUUUGCACGUUUUGCCUGUAAAUACCGACAUAUGACUACAACUAUUUUCAUGUUAUGUCUUUGACGAGACUUAUUUUCAAGAAUGUGGACAUGUGGAAGUUAUACAUCGUUGGACGUCAGAUUGAUCUACCAUAAUCACUUCAAUGGAUAUGUGCUUUUGUUUGUUUCUUAAUGGAUACUACUUAUACUGCAACAUUGCGAAACUUCAAUUUACCGAGAGGAAGAAGAGGCUCCGACCCGAUCAAUGGAACGGAAUCUUCUUACCGAAACAAUGCGCGAAAGGUUGAUGAGACUGCCCUACUUCUCUCGGAAGCUCGUUUUCAAGGGAUCAUUUCUCGGGUUACUGUGGGGGAAGACCUGUACGUGACGUAACGCUCACAACGGAAGACAGGAUGAGCGGUAUGCAUUUCAGGAGGGAGAUUAUCGUUGCACCGGAUGAGUUGUGGUGUUCAAGACGGCGAUAACACGAUGCACCUUUCACCUCGGUGUGACCUGCACGUGCUACCUGUUCAGUUGGUGUAACAGGUAUCUGUAGGUAUAUAAAUAGAUGAACUUUGAACUCGGACGGGUCUGAAUGGAAGUAAAUUUAGUAUGUACCUCAUUACUGAUUACAAGGAAUUCGACCCAUCUCUAAUUGUUUACAUUACUUAUCCAUUUUAGUGUUAACAAUCGCACGUGCUUGUAACACGGCAAGAGUCCAAUGCUAUUAAUUCUGUAUUUUGAAAGCACUACGCUUUUAGAGGGUUAAAAACUGCCGGGCUAAAUAAAGUAUGAAAUUGAAAAUUGGAUUUGACCAAAAAAUGACAAAUAUUACCAAAACGUUACUAGGCUGAAAACAGUCGCCGAAACAAGGUCUUAAACACAACUGUGAUACCCGUAUCAAAUACACCUCUAUCGAAUAACCUUUUUUAUAUUUUUAGCCACCAUCAAACACGGGUGUAUGCCUUCAUUUGCCCUGCAGUUUAUAUCUCAUAUUAAUCGGGUCGUCAGAUUGAAGGUUUUUUAAGUUUAAGGUUAUUUUAUUCAAGAGAAACCUCGUUAAUCCAGACUAAGCACUCCCAGUAAAGUCGUCCAGAUAAGCUAAUCAUAAUUCGUUGUAGUAUCUCUCUAAAAUACGUCAUGGAGUUAACAGUAAUCGCUUUGUUGUGACUGAUGGAUGUCCAGGGUCCUGGGUAACGAGGUUUCGGAGUAUACAAUGUCUUCGUCUCUUAUGAGUAUUAAAUGUGCAAAAAUUGUUAUAAUAAUUUAACAUAUGUGCUUAAAAAAUAUUAAAAAUGAAUGGAAGCUU